RNAcentral lists this ribosomal RNA (612 nucleotides) under Eiseniella tetraedra. RNAcentral describes it as "partial large subunit ribosomal RNA". It matches the Rfam family "Bacterial large subunit ribosomal RNA", at positions 1922 to 2853 of the family's 2925-position model. The record is from RNAcentral. Lineage: Eukaryota; Metazoa; Annelida; Clitellata; Crassiclitellata; Lumbricidae.
GUUCAACGGCCGCGGUAUCCUAACCGUGCAAAGGUAGCAUAAUCACUUGCCCAUUAAUUGUGGGCUAGAAUGAAAGGACCAACGAAAUAAAGACUGUCUCUAUAAGCAAAUUAAAAAUUAAUCUCUAACUGAAGAGUGUUAGAUUAUGUCGAAGGACAAGAAGACCCUAUAGAGCUUAAUUCUAAUAAAAAUACAUGUUUUAAUAAAAUUCGGUUGGGGCGACCAGGGAAUAAAAAUCAUCCCUAUUCAAAAGAUUUAUAAAUCUUUAAAAUGACCCUUAAACAAGACCAUAAAAACAAGCUACCUUAGGGGUAACAGGCUAAUCCCACUAAAGAGUUCUUAUCAAUAGUGGGGGUUGGCACCUCGAUGUUGGCUUAGGGAAUCUAUACGGCGCAAAAGUCGUAUAAAGAUGGUUUGUUCAACCAAUAGCCCCUACAUGAGCUGAGUUCAGACCGGCGUAAGCCAGGUUAGUUUCUAUCCUCGAUAAAAAUACCUAUUUAUAGUACGAAAGGACCUAAAUAAGGGUAACAGUUACANNNNNNNNNNNNNNNNNNNNNNNNNNNNNNUAGAAGAUUCAUAAACUAUGAUAGUGAGUUGGCAGAAUAGUGCCAC